CAGUCGCCGCGGUAAGACAGAGGUUGCAAGCGUUAUCCGGAAUGAUUGGGCGUAAAGCGUCUGUAGGUGGUUUGUUAAGUUGGAUGUGAAAGCCCCGGGCUCAACCUGGGAACUGCAUCCAAAACUGGCAAGCUAGAGUACGGUAGAGGGUGGUGGAAUUUCCUGUGUAGCGGUGAAAUGCGCAGAUAUAGGAAGGAACACCAGUGGCGAAGGCGACCACCUGGACUGAUACUGACACUGAGGUGCGAAAGCGUGGGGAGCAAACAGGAUUAGAUACCCGGGUAGUCCCUGUCUCUUAUAA
Molecule: ribosomal RNA, 301 nt
Filed under: uncultured bacterium
Lineage: Bacteria
Description: partial 16S ribosomal RNA
Rfam family: Bacterial small subunit ribosomal RNA
Source: RNAcentral